GCGAUAUGAAGGAAGUUUUCGGAUGGAAUUUAUAUUGACUGAGUGGCGGACGGGUGAGUAACGCGUGGGUAACCUGCCUCAUACAGGGGGAUAACAGUUAGAAAUGACUGCUAAUACCGCAUAAGCGUACAGAAUCGCAUGAUUGGGUGUGAAAAACUCCGGUGGUAUGAGAUGGACCCGCGUCUGAUUAGCUAGUUGGUGGGGUAAAGGCCUACCAAGGCGACGAUCAGUAGCCGACCUGAGAGGGUGAUCGGCCACAUUGGGACUGAGACACGGCCCAAACUCCUACGGGAGGCAGCAGUGGGGAAUAUUGCACAAUGGGGGAAACCCUGAUGCAGCAACGCCGCGUGAGUGAAGAAGUAUUUCGGUAUGUAAAGCUCUAUCAGCAGGGAAGAAGAUGACGGUACCUGAUUAAGAAGCCCCGGCUAACUACGUGCCAGCAGCCGCGGUAAUACGUAGGGGGCAAGCGUUAUCCGGAUUUACUGGGUGUAAAGGGAGCGUAGACGGCAUAGCAAGUCUGAAGUGAAAGCCCAAGGCUCAACCAUGGGACUGCUUUGGAAACUGUUAAGCUAGAGUGCUGGAGAGGUAAGCGGAAUUCCUAGUGUAGCGGUGAAAUGCGUAGAUAUUAGGAAGAACACCAGUGGCGAAGGCGGCUUACUGGACAGUAACUGACGUUGAGGCUCGAAAGCGUGGGGAGCAAACAGGAUUAGAUACCCUGGUAGUCCA
This 726-nucleotide ribosomal RNA is filed under the name uncultured bacterium. RNAcentral describes it as "bacterial SSU rRNA". It matches the Rfam family "Bacterial small subunit ribosomal RNA", at positions 61 to 797 of the family's 1533-position model. The record is from RNAcentral.